Molecule: ribosomal RNA, 468 nt
Filed under: uncultured bacterium
Lineage: Bacteria
Description: partial 16S ribosomal RNA
Rfam family: Bacterial small subunit ribosomal RNA
Source: RNAcentral
GACGAACGCUGGCGGCGUGCUUAACACAUGCAAGUCGAACGGAAAGGCCCUGCUUUUGUGGGGUGCUCGAGUGGCGAACGGGUGAGUAACACGUGAGUAACCUGCCCUUGACUUUGGGAUAACUUCAGGAAACUGGGGCUAAUACCGGAUAGGAGCUCCUGCUGCAUGGUGGGGGUUGGAAAGUUUCGGCGGUUGGGGAUGGACUCGCGGCUUAUCAGCUUGUUGGUGGGGUAGUGGCUUACCAAGGCUUUGACGGGUAGCCGGCCUGAGAGGGUGACCGGCCACAUUGGUACUGAGAUACGGCCCAGACUCCUACGGGAGGCAGCAAUGGGGAAUAUUGCACAAUGGGCGGAAGCCUGAUGCAGCAACGCCGCGUGCGGGAUGACGGCCUUCGGGUUGUAAACCGCUUUCGCCUGUGACGAAGCGUGAGUGACGGUAAUGGGUAAAGAAGCACCGGCUAACUACGUG